RNAcentral lists this ribosomal RNA (2884 nucleotides) under Salmonella enterica subsp. enterica serovar Typhimurium. RNAcentral's name for it is "bacterial LSU rRNA". It matches the Rfam family "Bacterial large subunit ribosomal RNA". The record is from RNAcentral. Lineage: Bacteria; Pseudomonadati; Pseudomonadota; Gammaproteobacteria; Enterobacterales; Enterobacteriaceae.
UUAAGCGACUAAGCGUACACGGUGGAUGCCCUGGCAGUCAGAGGCGAUGAAGGGCGUGCUAAUCUGCGAUAAGCGCCGGUAAGGUGAUAUGAACCGUUAUAACCGGCGAUACCCGAAUGGGGAAACCCAGUGUGAUUCGUCACACUAUCAUUAACUGAAUCCAUAGGUUAAUGAGGCGAACCGGGGGAACUGAAACAUCUAAGUACCCCGAGGAAAAGAAAUCAACCGAGAUUCCCCCAGUAGCGGCGAGCGAACGGGGAGGAGCCCAGAGCCUGAAUCAGCAUGUGUGUUAGUGGAAGCGUCUGGAAAGGCGCGCGAUACAGGGUGACAGCCCCGUACACAAAAGCGCAUGUGCUGUGAGCUCGAUGAGUAGGGCGGGACACGUGGUAUCCUGUCUGAAUAUGGGGGGACCAUCCUCCAAGGCUAAAUACUCCUGACUGACCGAUAGUGAACCAGUACCGUGAGGGAAAGGCGAAAAGAACCCCGGCGAGGGGAGUGAAAAAGAACCUGAAACCGUGUACGUACAAGCAGUGGGAGCNNGUGACUGCGUACCUUUUGUAUAAUGGGUCAGCGACUUAUAUUCUGUAGCAAGGUUAACCGUAUAGGGGAGCCGGAGGGAAACCGAGUCUUAAUUGGGCGUUAAGUUGCAGGGUAUAGACCCGAAACCCGGUGAUCUAGCCAUGGGCAGGUUGAAGGUUGGGUAACACUAACUGGAGGACCGAACCGACUAAUGUUGAAAAAUUAGCGGAUGACCUGUGGCUGGGGGUGAAAGGCCAAUCAAACCGGGAGAUAGCUGGUUCUCCCCGAAAGCUAUUUAGGUAGCGCCUCGUGAAUUCAUCUCCGGGGGUAGAGCACUGUUUCGGCUAGGGGGCCAUCCCGGCUUACCAACCCGAUGCAAACUGCGAAUACCGGAGAAUGUUAUCACGGGAGACACACGGCGGGUGCUAACGUCCGUCGUGAAGAGGGAAACAACCCAGACCGCCAGCUAAGGUCCCAAAGUCAUGGUUAAGUGGGAAACGAUGUGGGAAGGCCCAGACAGCCAGGAUGUUGGCUUAGAAGCAGCCAUCAUUUAAAGAAAGCGUAAUAGCUCACUGGUCGAGUCGGCCUGCGCGGAAGAUGUAACGGGGCUAAACCAUGCACCGAAGCUGCGGCAGCGANNGUUGGGUAGGGGAGCGUUCUGUAAGCCUGUGAAGGUGUGUCGUGAGGCAUGCUGGAGGUAUCAGAAGUGCGAAUGCUGACAUAAGUAACGAUAAAGCGGGUGAAAAGCCCGCUCGCCGGAAGACCAAGGGUUCCUGUCCAACGUUAAUCGGGGCAGGGUGAGUCGACCCCUAAGGCGAGGCCGAAAGGCGUAGUCGAUGGGAAACGGGUUAAUAUUCCCGUACUUGGUGUUACUGCGAAGGGGGGACGGAGAAGGCUAUGUUGGCCGGGCGACGGUUGUCCCGGUUUAAGCGUGUAGGUGUGUGUUCCAGGUAAAUCCGGUUCACUUUAACACUGAGGCGUGACGACGAGGCACUACGGUGCUGAAGCAACAAAUGCCCUGCUUCCAGGAAAAGCCUCUAAGCAUCAGGUAACACGAAAUCGUACCCCAAACCGACACAGGUGGUCAGGUAGAGAAUACCAAGGCGCUUGAGAGAACUCGGGUGAAGGAACUAGGCAAAAUGGUGCCGUAACUUCGGGAGAAGGCACGCUGACACGUAGGUGAAGUGAUUUACUCAUGGAGCUGAAGUCAGUCGAAGAUACCAGCUGGCUGCAACUGUUUAUUAAAAACACAGCACUGUGCAAACACGAAAGUGGACGUAUACGGUGUGACGCCUGCCCGGUGCCGGAAGGUUAAUUGAUGGGGUCAGCGCAAGCGAAGCUCCUGAUCGAAGCCCCGGUAAACGGCGGCCGUAACUAUAACGGUCCUAAGGUAGCGAAAUUCCUUGUCGGGUAAGUUCCGACCUGCACGAAUGGCGUAAUGAUGGCCAGGCUGUCUCCACCCGAGACUCAGUGAAAUUGAACUCGCUGUGAAGAUGCAGUGUACCCGCGGCAAGACGGAAAGACCCCGUGAACCUUUACUAUAGCUUGACACUGAACAUUGAGCCUUGAUGUGUAGGAUAGGUGGGAGGCUUUGAAGUGUGGACGCCAGUCUGCAUGGAGCCGACCUUGAAAUACCACCCUUUAAUGUUUGAUGUUCUAACGUGGACCCGUAAUCCGGGUUGCGGACAGUGUCUGGUGGGUAGUUUGACUGGGGCGGUCUCCUCCUAAAGAGUAACGGAGGAGCACGAAGGUUGGCUAAUCCUGGUCGGACAUCAGGAGGUUAGUGCAAUGGCAUAAGCCAGCUUGACUGCGAGCGUGACGGCGCGAGCAGGUGCGAAAGCAGGUCAUAGUGAUCCGGUGGUUCUGAAUGGAAGGGCCAUCGCUCAACGGAUAAAAGGUACUCCGGGGAUAACAGGCUGAUACCGCCCAAGAGUUCAUAUCGACGGCGGUGUUUGGCACCUCGAUGUCGGCUCAUCACAUCCUGGGGCUGAAGUAGGUCCCAAGGGUAUGGCUGUUCGCCAUUUAAAGUGGUACGCGAGCUGGGUUUAGAACGUCGUGAGACAGUUCGGUCCCUAUCUGCCGUGGGCGCUGGAGAACUGAGGGGGGCUGCUCCUAGUACGAGAGGACCGGAGUGGACGCAUCACUGGUGUUCGGGUUGUCAUGCCAAUGGCACUGCCCGGUAGCUAAAUGCGGAAGAGAUAAGUGCUGAAAGCAUCUAAGCACGAAACUUGCCCCGAGAUGAGUUCUCCCUGAGACUUAGAGUCUCCUGAAGGAACGUUGAAGACGACGACGUUGAUAGGCCGGGUGUGUAAGCGCAGCGAUGCGUUGAGCUAACCGGUACUAAUGAACCGUGAGGCUUAACCUU